This 120-nucleotide ribosomal RNA is filed under the name Sedimentisphaerales bacterium. RNAcentral's name for it is "partial 23S ribosomal RNA". It matches the Rfam family "Archaeal large subunit ribosomal RNA", at positions 1 to 119 of the family's 2987-position model. Lineage: Bacteria; Pseudomonadati; Planctomycetota; Phycisphaerae; Sedimentisphaerales. The record is from RNAcentral.
GAUCAAGCUGCUGAUAUGCCAGCCGGGGGAUGGCUCGGCUCGAGCGCUGAUGAAGGGCGUGCCAAGCUGCGAUAAGCCCCGGCGAGGCGCAUGGAGCCUUUGAACCGGGGAUGCCCUAAU